UUUUUUUUUUUUCUCAGCCCAAUAUAGGGUGUAUGUUUUUUGUUUGUUUAUAUUUUGCUCUCUUUUUUUGGUAGGAAAAAGAAACAAUAAAAUGUACCCAAAUGUUAUAAUUCCAUGUAUGAUAUGAAAUGGGUAGUUUGUUUUAAAAUUUGAAUACAUAAAGACCUCCUGCAUUGAGGCAUGACUAGAUAUAUUUUUAAGUUAAAAAAAUUAAGCACAUUCAUAAAAGUGAGGCUUUUAAAUCUCUUUUUAUCUUCCUUUCUCAUAGCCUCCCAGUUAGACCAGUGGCCUUCCCCUAUGCCCCCAGUGUAAUGUUCCAUUACUCCCGUUCCUAUUUUGUCACCUGAUACUUUCAUUCCUGAAAAGGCAGAGCCACAUUCUGUGGGAUUCCAUAAGUGCAAACAGCUCCAAACACAAAGGAGCUAAUGCUUCAUAGGAUCUGUGCUACCUUUUCAUGUAGGAUUUGGUUUUCUAAUGGCAGGCAAUAUUCCUAAGGCUGUCCCAAUAAUAUAGAUAUUGUGAUGACAUUAUACCUAGGAAGUUUAUAACUUUUACUUUUUCUUGCCAGAUUACAAAGACAAUUUUCAUCUUCAAGAAUAAAAUAGAGUUUAGCAAAAAUACAUGGAGUAUUGAAGUUGCCAUGUUACUGUAACUUUUGUUCUUUAUCCAUUAGCCAGCUGUUUUAGCCUGUGAUAUCCAUUAGUCUGCCGAAAAAUGUUAGCAAGAUGGAUCAUGCAAAGAAAAAUAACUUAAGAAGAGAAAGGGUGAUGAAAAGGACUGUAAAGUUUUAGAAAGACUAGCAGAUUAAUACAUUUAAAAGGCUAGUUGUAGUUGUGAAUGGGAAAUAAUAUGACAGAUUUUUAAAAACAUGGAAGGAGCACUUCAUUAUCAGAGUACGGGUGGGAGGGGUGGAGAAGGUACCUGCAAAAAUGCCAGUGUGUAAAGCAAGUGACUGAACCUGGCUAGAAUAUGAACGCAAGACCUCCAGGUACAGUCAAGUGGGCUUUUUAAGGAAAAUUUAUUAUAUAUUACACCUAUCCAUGUUUAAAGAAGAUCAUUAAAUAAUUGCAAGCUAAAAUGUGCUGUAUGUUAAUUCUGAGAUAGCUUUCUACUUGAUGUAUAUUCCUCUGAGAGUUUCUAUUUAGAAUUUCUGUUUCUGCUCUGGGACCAAUGAUAACUAUAUGAGUUCUUUCUUGUCCAUUUUUAUUUGAUUUUACUUAUUUUUAAAGCCAAUUUGCUAAUUAAUUACAAGUAAGUGAAAACUUACUUUCACAUUUGAAUGGUAAGUUUGCCUUGCUUUUUGGAAAAUGGUGAUUGUUACUACAGAAUUGAAACAAACGUCUAUUCAGACUGCAUAAGGCAUACAAUAACAUGUAAAGAUCUCAUGACAGUGUACUGAGAGUCUAAUAUACAUGCCAGUAUCGCAUGUCUUGAUGUGUUUUUGUUUGUUUUCUUAAAGAACUAAUGAAUCUGUAUAUUGUAAAAUGUGUUUUACAUGCCAAUUCAAUUUUUUUAAUGAAAGAAAAUCUGUUGAUUAUUGAAAUGGAAAAGUGCAGCUUUUCUUUAAUUUGCUUAUGUUUUCAUUCUUAAUAUUGUUCUUUUACACCACCCUUUUUAUGUUUUUGGUAAAAUUCUAUUUACAUAAUGUAGGGUACAAAUAAUGUUCUCAUUGGUAUGUUGAAGAAAGAUGUUACUCUUGGCCUCCUUCUUGUUCUCUUCCCCUGAAGACCAUACACUGAGAACUUGUAAAACAGACCAUUAUAACCCUGAGGGCAUGAUUUAAAGGUUUACAUUUUUCAUGAUUCUACAAUACCAAUGAAAUGUAACUUUUGAAAAUUCUUCACUGUUUAUUUCAUAUUUGAUACCAAGAAAACUUGGAAGAUAGCAAUCAGAAUAUAGAUGGUGGUGGACUAUACAGCUUAAAAAUUGCAUAUCAGAGAAGCCAAAUUAAAAACUUUGUAAAAGAGGUUGACAUACACAAGACUCUUACCUUCUCUAAGUGUUGACAAGGAGAUGCCACAUUCUGUUAGCAGUUGAGGAGAGCUGGAAAAUAUACAGGGUGUUGGUAUGAAGUACAAUGAACCAAUUUCCUUGUCAGCUGUCACUCAAAACCCUAACCAUUAGAAGAACCUCAUAAAGCAAACCUCCCUCUUUUCAGGCCUUAAAACCAAAGUGGCUUUCUGAUGGAUUUUGCCUGCCUGUGUAGAAGUGGAGGCAUAUUUAAAAUGAGAAACGUAUCCAUCCUUAGGAGAGAAAACAGGUAAUAGUCUUUCUCCAGUGUAAGAGUAUAUAAAAACAUCUCCUGGUUGCUUAAUCCCCAACACCCAGCUUCCUUCUUCUAAACACAUUUAUAGGGAGCAAGAGAUGGUGGGCUUCCCAUGAAUUACUAUUAAGCAAUCACUAACAGAAAGGAAUAUUCCCUUCCUUUCAUUUAGAAUCCCUGGCAUGUAAGUUGUACAAUUAAUGCUAAAGCAUAUAAAGUCUUUAAGCUGAUAGUAUCUGUAAUCAAAUAAUGAAAAAAGAGGAAAGCAGUUAAAUGAACACACUAUUCAGGGUCAAAUAUAUUCAGCAAAAAGCCGUAGUGGGUCUUUGAUCAUGGUUAGAUUCACAGUGAUAUCAAACAGUUGGUUCUCAUGUAACAGCUAAAUGUUUCAGAUUUUGUUUUUAUUAAAUUUGGCAGUUUCACACUGAGAUCUGUAUUCCUAGUGAAUAAAAGACAGCUACUAUGUGAGGAGGGAUUCCAUUUUCACAAUGGCAAGGAAGUCAGAUAUUUCAGGAACAUGGGCCACAAAAUGUACUCCUUUCACAGCGUUCUCCUAUUCUGAACUGUGCAGUCAUCUAUUAAAUUUUCUAAUAGAUAUUUGUGUAAGGUGUAUGUAUGCUUGUGCAAUUAUAAAAAAGCAGUUUUGGAAAACAGUGUAUUUAUUAAAGAAAAUUACUUAUGGGGCAUGUACAAAACUGUAAAAAAAAAAAAAAACUAAAAAAAAAAAAAAAAAAAAAAAAAAACACAUUCGAUUUGCCCAGUAAAGUUGUUUUUGUGAAAUUUCUGUGUUGUUGAAUAAAGGACUUUAGUAUUCAAA
This 3080-nucleotide long non-coding RNA is filed under the name Canis lupus familiaris (dog). RNAcentral's name for it is "lncRNA (ENSCAFG00845027412.1)". The record is from RNAcentral. Lineage: Eukaryota; Metazoa; Chordata; Mammalia; Carnivora; Canidae.